UGGGGGGACCAUCCUCCAAGGCUAAAUACUCCUGACUGACCGAUAGUGAACCAGUACCGUGAGGGAAAGGCGAAAAGAACCCCGGCGAGGGGAGUGAAAAAGAACCUGAAACCGUGUACGUACAAGCAGUGGGAGCACGCUUAGGCGUGUGACUGCGUACCUUUUGUAUAAUGGGUCAGCGACUUAUAUUCUGUAGCAAGGUUAACCGAAUAGGGGAGCCGAAGGGAAACCGAGUCUUAACUGGGCGUUAAGUUGCAGGGUAUAGACCCGAAACCCGGUGAUCUAGCCAUGGGCAGGUUGAAGGUUGGGUAACACUAACUGGAGGACCGAACCGACUAAUGUUGAAAAAUUAGCGGAUGACUUGUGGCUGGGGGUGAAAGGCCAAUCAAACCGGGAGAUAGCUGGUUCUCCCCGAAAGCUAUUUAGGUAGCGCCUCGUGAAUUCAUCUCCGGGGGUAGAGCACUGUUUCGGCAAGGGGGUCAUCCCGACUUACCAACCCGAUGCAAACUGCGAAUACCGGAGAAUGUUAUCACGGGAGACACACGGCGGGUGCUAACGUCCGUCGUGAAGAGGGAAACAACCCAGACCGCCAGCUAAGGUCCCAAAGUCAUGGUUAAGUGGGAAACGAUGUGGGAAGGCCCAGACAGCCAGGAUGUUGGCUUAGAAGCAGCCAUCAUUUAAAGAAAGCGUAAUAGCUCACUGGUCGAGUCGGCCUGCGCGGAAGAUGUAACGGGGCUAAACCAUGCACCGAAGCUGCGGCAGCGACACUAUGUGUUGUUGGGUAGGGGAGCGUUCUGUAAGCCUGUGAAGGUGUGCUGUGAGGCAUGCUGGAGGUAUCAGAAGUGCGAAUGCUGACAUAAGUAACGAUAAAGCGGGUGAAAAGCCCGCUCGCCGGAAGACCAAGGGUUCCUGUCCAACGUUAAUCGGGGCAGGGUGAGUCGACCCCUAAGGCGAGGCCGAAAGGCGUAGUCGAUGGGAAACAGGUUAAUAUUCCUGUACUUGGUGUUACUGCGAAGGGGGGACGGAGAAGGCUAUGUUGGCCGGGCGACGGUUGUCCCGGUUUAAGCGUGUAGGCUGGUUUUCCAGGCAAAUCCGGAAAAUCAAGGCUGAGGCGUGAUGACGAGGCACUACGGUGCUGAAGCAACAAAUGCCCUGCUUCCAGGAAAAGCCUCUAAGCAUCAGGUAACAUCAAAUCGUACCCCAAACCGACACAGGUGGUCAGGUAGAGAAUACCAAGGCGCUUGAGAGAACUCGGGUGAAGGAACUAGGCAAAAUGGUGCCGUAACUUCGGGAGAAGG
RNAcentral lists this ribosomal RNA (1298 nucleotides) under Escherichia coli. RNAcentral describes it as "partial 23S ribosomal RNA". It matches the Rfam family "Bacterial large subunit ribosomal RNA", at positions 445 to 1746 of the family's 2925-position model. The record is from RNAcentral. Lineage: Bacteria; Pseudomonadati; Pseudomonadota; Gammaproteobacteria; Enterobacterales; Enterobacteriaceae.